RNAcentral lists this ribosomal RNA (305 nucleotides) under uncultured bacterium. RNAcentral's name for it is "bacterial SSU rRNA". It matches the Rfam family "Bacterial small subunit ribosomal RNA", at positions 338 to 657 of the family's 1533-position model. The record is from RNAcentral.
CCUACGGGACGCAGCAGUGGGGAAUAUUGGGCAAUGGGCGCAAGCCUGACCCAGCAACGCCGCGUGAAGGAAGAAGGCUUUCGGGUUGUAAACUUCUUUUCUAAGGGAAGAAGAAAGUGACGGUACCUUAGGAAUAAGCCUCGGCUAACUACGUGCCAGCAGCCGCGGUAAUACGUAGGAGGCAAGCGUUAUCCGGAAUGACUGGGCGUAAAGGGUGCGUAGGUGGUUUGACAAGUUGGUAGCGUAACUCCGGGGCUCAACCUCGGCACUACUACCAAAACUGUUGGACUUGAGUGCAGGAGGGG